This 813-nucleotide ribosomal RNA is filed under the name Alternaria alternata. RNAcentral's name for it is "LSU rRNA". It matches the Rfam family "Eukaryotic large subunit ribosomal RNA", at positions 76 to 907 of the family's 3401-position model. The record is from RNAcentral. RNAcentral also lists the same sequence under 4 other names. Lineage: Eukaryota; Fungi; Ascomycota; Dothideomycetes; Pleosporales; Pleosporaceae.
UGCCCUAGUAACGGCGAGUGAAGCGGCAACAGCUCAAAUUUGAAAUCUGGCUCUUUUAGAGUCCGAGUUGUAAUUUGCAGAGGGCGCUUUGGCUUUGGCAGCGGUCCAAGUUCCUUGGAACAGGACGUCACAGAGGGUGAGAAUCCCGUACGUGGUCGCUGGCUAUUGCCGUGUAAAGCCCCUUCGACGAGUCGAGUUGUUUGGGAAUGCAGCUCUAAAUGGGAGGUACAUUUCUUCUAAAGCUAAAUAUUGGCCAGAGACCGAUAGCGCACAAGUAGAGUGAUCGAAAGAUGAAAAGCACUUUGGAAAGAGAGUCAAACAGCACGUGAAAUUGUUGAAAGGGAAGCGCUUGCAGCCAGACUUGCUUACAGUUGCUCAUCCGGGUUUCUACCCGGUGCACUCUUCUGUAGGCAGGCCAGCAUCAGUUUGGGCGGUAGGAUAAAGGUCUCUGUCACGUACCUCCUUUCGGGGAGGCCUUAUAGGGGAGACGACAUACUACCAGCCUGGACUGAGGUCCGCGCAUCUGCUAGGAUGCUGGCGUAAUGGCUGUAAGCGGCCCGUCUUGAAACACGGACCAAGGAGUCUAACAUCUAUGCGAGUGUUUGGGUGUCAAGCCCGAGCGCGUAAUGAAAGUGAACGGAGGUGGGAACCCGCAAGGGUGCACCAUCGACCGAUCCUGAUGUCUUCGGAAGGAUUUGAGUAAGAGCAUGGCUGUUGGGACCCGAAAGAUGGUGAACUAUGCUUGAAUAGGGUGAAGCCAGAGGAAACUCUGGUGGAGGCUCGCAGCGGUUCUGACGUGCAAAUCGAUCGUCA